UACGUAGGGGGCAAGCGUUAUCCGGAAUUACUGGGUGUAAAGGGUGCGUAGGCGGCAAUGCAAGUUUGAUGUGAAACCUUGGGGCUCAACCCCAAGCAUGCAUCGAAAACUGCGUAGCUAGAGUGCAGGAGAGGAAAGUGGAAUUCCGAGUGUAGCGGUGAAAUGCGUAGAGAUUCGGAGGAACACCAGUAGCGAAGGCGACUUUCUGGACUGUAACUGACGCUGAGGCACGAAAGCGUGGGGAGCGAACAGG
Molecule: ribosomal RNA, 253 nt
Filed under: uncultured bacterium
Lineage: Bacteria
Description: partial 16S ribosomal RNA
Rfam family: Bacterial small subunit ribosomal RNA
Source: RNAcentral